GUUUGAUCCUGGCUCAGGAUGAACGCUGGCGGCGCGCUUAACACAUGCAAGUCGAACGAUGAAGCCCAGCUUGCUGGGUGGAUUAGUGGCGAACGGGUGAGUAACACGUAAGUAACCUGCCCUUAACUCUGGGAUAAGCCUGGGAAACUAGGUCUAAUACCGGAUAGGAGCGCCUACCGCAUGGUGGGUGUUGGAAAGAUUUAUCGGUUUUGGAUGGACUCGCGGCCUAUCAGCUUGUUGGUGAGGUAAUGGCUCACCAAGGCGACGACGGGUAGCCGGCCUGAGAGGGUGACCGGCCACACUGGGACCGAGACACGGCCCAGACUCCUACGGGAGGCAGCAGUGGGGAAUAUCGCACAAUGGGCGCAAGCCUGAUGCAGCGACGCCGCGUGAGGGAUGACGGCCUUCGGGUUGUAAACCUCUUUCAGUAGGGAAGAAGCGAAAGUGACGGUACCUGCAGAAGAAGCACCGGCUAACUACGUGCCAGCAGCCGCGGUAAUACGUAGGGUGCGAGCGUUAUCCGGAAUUAUUGGGCGUAAAGAGCUCGUAGGCGGUUUGUCGCGUCUGUCGUGAAAGUCCGGGGCUUAACCCCGGAUCUGCGGUGGGUACGGGCAGACUAGAGUGCAGUAGGGGAGACUGGAAUUCCUGGUGUAGCGGUGGAAUGCGCAGAUAUCAGGAGGAACACCGAUGGCGAAGGCAGGUCUCUGGGCUGUAACUGACGCUGAGGAGCGAAAGCAUGGGGAGCGAACAGGAUUAGAUACCCUGGUAGUCCAUGCCGUAAACGUUGGGCACUAGGUGUGGGGACCAUUCCACGGUUUCCGCGCCGCAGCUAACGCAUUAAGUGCCCCGCCUGGGGAGUACGGCCGCAAGGCUAAAACUCAAAGGAAUUGACGG
RNAcentral lists this ribosomal RNA (894 nucleotides) under uncultured bacterium. RNAcentral describes it as "bacterial SSU rRNA". It matches the Rfam family "Bacterial small subunit ribosomal RNA", at positions 11 to 916 of the family's 1533-position model. The record is from RNAcentral.